RNAcentral lists this ribosomal RNA (450 nucleotides) under uncultured bacterium. RNAcentral describes it as "partial 16S ribosomal RNA". It matches the Rfam family "Bacterial small subunit ribosomal RNA", at positions 354 to 796 of the family's 1533-position model. The record is from RNAcentral.
GUGGGGAAUAUUCCGCAAUGGACGAAAGUCUGACGGAGCAACGCCGCGUGAGUGAUGAAGGUUUUCGGACUGUAAAGCUCUGUUGUUUAGGACGAAAGUGCCUGUUGCAAAUAGUUACAGGUAUUGACGGUACUGAACGAGGAAGCCACGGCUAACUACGUGCCAGCAGCCGCGGUAAUACGUAGGUGGCAAGCGUUGUCCGGAAUUAUUGGGCGUAAAGAGCAUGUAGGCGGGAAUCUAAGUCUGUUGUGAAAAUGCGGGGCUCAACCCCGUAUUGCGAUGGAAACUGGGUUUCUUGAGUGCAGGAGAGGAAAGGGGAAUUCCCAGUGUAGCGGUGAAAUGCGUAGAUAUUGGGAGGAACACCAGUGGCGAAGGCGCCUUUCUGGACGAAAACUGACGCUGAGGCGCGAAAGCCAGGGGAGCGAACGGGAUUAGAAACCCUGGUAGUCC